Molecule: ribosomal RNA, 397 nt
Filed under: uncultured bacterium
Lineage: Bacteria
Description: bacterial SSU rRNA
Rfam family: Bacterial small subunit ribosomal RNA
Source: RNAcentral
AUUGAACGCUGGCGGAAUGCUUUACACAUGCAAGUCGAGCGGCAGCGCGGGGCAACCUGGCGGCGAGCGGCGAACGGGUGAGUAAUGCAUCGGAACGUACCCAGUCGUGGGGGAUAACUGUCCGAAAGGACAGCUAAUACCGCAUACGUCCUGAGGGAGAAAGCGGGGGAUCGCAAGACCUCGCGCGAUUGGAGCGGCCGAUGCCGGAUUAGCUAGUUGGUAGGGUAAAGGCCUACCAAGGCGACGAUCCGUAGCUGGUCUGAGAGGACGACCAGCCACACUGGAACUGAGACACGGUCCAGACUCCUACGGGAGGCAGCAGUGGGGAAUUUUGGACAAUGGGGGCAACCCUGAUCCAGCCAUUCCGCGUGAGUGAAGAAGGCCUCGGUUGUAAGAC